This 1372-nucleotide ribosomal RNA is filed under the name uncultured bacterium. RNAcentral's name for it is "bacterial SSU rRNA". It matches the Rfam family "Bacterial small subunit ribosomal RNA", at positions 28 to 1381 of the family's 1533-position model. The record is from RNAcentral.
GAUGAACGCUGGCGGCGUGCCUAAUACAUGCAAGUCGAGCGAACGGACGAGAAGCUUGCUUCUCUGAUGUUAGCGGCGGACGGGUGAGUAACACGUGGAUAACCUACCUAUAAGACUGGGAUAACUUCGGGAAACCGGAGCUAAUACCGGAUAAUAUUUUGAACCGCAUGGUUCAAAAGUGAAAGACGGUCUUGCUGUCACUUAUAGAUGGAUCCGCGCUGCAUUAGCUAGUUGGUAAGGUAACGGCUUACCAAGGCAACGAUGCAUAGCCGACCUGAGAGGGUGAUCGGCCACACUGGAACUGAGACACGGUCCAGACUCCUACGGGAGGCAGCAGUAGGGAAUCUUCCGCAAUGGGCGAAAGCCUGACGGAGCAACGCCGCGUGAGUGAUGAAGGUCUUCGGAUCGUAAAACUCUGUUAUUAGGGAAGAACAUAUGUGUAAGUAACUGUGCACAUCUUGACGGUACCUAAUCAGAAAGCCACGGCUAACUACGUGCCAGCAGCCGCGGUAAUACGUAGGUGGCAAGCGUUAUCCGGAAUUAUUGGGCGUAAAGCGCGCGUAGGCGGUUUUUUAAGUCUGAUGUGAAAGCCCACGGCUCAACCGUGGAGGGUCAUUGGAAACUGGAAAACUUGAGUGCAGAAGAGGAAAGUGGAAUUCCAUGUGUAGCGGUGAAAUGCGCAGAGAUAUGGAGGAACACCAGUGGCGAAGGCGACUUUCUGGUCUGUAACUGACGCUGAUGUGCGAAAGCGUGGGGAUCAAACAGGAUUAGAUACCCUGGUAGUCCACGCCGUAAACGAUGGGUGCUAAGUGUUAGGGGGUUUCCGCCCCUUAGUGCUGUAGCUAACGCAUUAAGCACUCCGCCUGGGGAGUACGACCGCAAGGUUGAAACUCAAAGGAAUUGACGGGGACCCGCACAAGCGGUGGAGCAUGUGGUUUAAUUCGAAGCAACGCGAAGAACCUUACCAAAUCUUGACAUCCUCUGACCCCUCUAGAGAUAGAGUUUUCCCCUUCGGGGGACAGAGUGACAGGUGGUGCAUGGUUGUCGUCAGCUCGUGUCGUGAGAUGUUGGGUUAAGUCCCGCAACGAGCGCAACCCUUAAGCUUAGUUGCCAUCAUUAAGUUGGGCACUCUAAGUUGACUGCCGGUGACAAACCGGAGGAAGGUGGGGAUGACGUCAAAUCAUCAUGCCCCUUAUGAUUUGGGCUACACACGUGCUACAAUGGACAAUACAAAGGGCAGCGAAACCGCGAGGUCAAGCAAAUCCCAUAAAGUUGUUCUCAGUUCGGAUUGUAGUCUGCAACUCGACUAUAUGAAGCUGGAAUCGCUAGUAAUCGUAGAUCAGCAUGCUACGGUGAAUACGUUCCCGGGUCU